This is a non-coding RNA of Equus caballus (horse), 709 nucleotides long. NCBI's taxonomy places the organism in Eukaryota, Metazoa, Chordata, Mammalia, Perissodactyla, Equidae. The record is from the annotation of a RefSeq genome assembly.
UUCAGGUUCCUCCUCACCCUGAAAAUAUUUUCAGGGAGUCAUGAAUCUCAUCUGCAAGAACAUGAAUCACCUGUGGUUCUUCCUCUUUCUGGUGGCCGCUCCUAGAUGUGUCCUGUCCCAGGUGCAACUGAAGGAGUCAGGACCUGGCCUGGUGAAGCCCUCGCAGACCCUCUCCCUCACCUGCACUGUCUCUGGAUUCUCUUUGAGCAGUUAUGCUGUAGGCUGGGUCCGCCAGGCUCCAGGAAAAGGGCUGGAAUAUGUUGGUGCUAUAUAUGGUAGUGCAAGUGCAAACUACAACCCAGCCCUGAAGUCCCGAGCCAGCAUCACCAAGGACACCUCCAAGAGCCAAGUUUAUCUGACGCUGAACAGCCUGACAGGCGAGGACACGGCCGUCUAUUACUGUGCGAAAGACACAGUGAGGGGAAGUCAGUGUGAGCCCCGACAAAAACUUCCUGCAGGGAGACAAGAGGGGCUGAGCUGCAAAGGACUCAGGACACCAGGGGGUGCUCAGGACCCACCCAGUGCAGGGCUGAGCCCAGGAGCAGGUGCAGGGAGAGGCUGGGAGGCUUUCCUGCUUAGAAUCUGUGGUUUCCUCCUCCUGCCCAGAAACUCCACCAGGGACCCUCUCCUAGGUCCUAUUGUGUCAACACUUUGUUUUACGAUUCAUUCAGAAUAUAAUAUUAAUAUUUACUAAGAAAUUAAGGUUAGA